RNAcentral lists this non-coding RNA (29 nucleotides) under Rattus norvegicus (Norway rat). Lineage: Eukaryota; Metazoa; Chordata; Mammalia; Rodentia; Muridae. The record is from RNAcentral.
UUGGUGCACUUACACUGGGCUUCCUGGUC